UACGGAGGGUGCAAACGUUGCUCGGAAUUACUGGGCGUAAAGCGCACGUAGGCGGCUUUGUAAGUUAGAGGUGAAAGCCCGGAGCUCAACUCCGGAACUGCCUUUAAGACUGCAUCGCUUGAACGUCGGAGAGGUAAGUGGAAUUCCGAGUGUAGAGGUGAAAUUCGUAGAUAUUCGGAAGAACACCAGUGGCGAAGGCGACUUACUGGACGACUGUUGACGCUGAGGUGCGAAAGCGUGGGGAGCAAACAGG
Molecule: ribosomal RNA, 253 nt
Filed under: uncultured bacterium
Lineage: Bacteria
Description: partial 16S ribosomal RNA
Rfam family: Bacterial small subunit ribosomal RNA
Source: RNAcentral